GUGAGGAAUUUUCAGCAAUGGGCGAAAGACUGACGGAGCAAUGCCGCGUGAAGGAUGCAGGCCUAUGGGUUGUAAACUUCUUUUCUCAGAAAAGAAUUAUGACGGUAUCUGAGGAAUAAGCAUCGGCUAACUCUGUGCCAGCAGCCGCGGUAAUACAGAGGAUGCAAGCGUUCCCCGGAAUGCUCGGGCGUAAAGCGUCUGUAGGUUGUUUAAAAAGUAUUCUUUCAAAGAUUAGGGCUUAACCCUAGAUAGGCAGAAUAAACUUUUAAGCUAGAGUUUGGUAGAAGCAGAGGGAAUUCCCGGUGGAGCGGUGAAAUGCGUAGAUAGCGGGAGGUACACCAAAGGCGAAGGCACUCUGCUGGGCCAAUACUAACACUGAGAGACGAAAGCGAGGAGAACAAAUGGGAUUAGAUACCCUUGUAGUCC
RNAcentral lists this ribosomal RNA (426 nucleotides) under uncultured bacterium. Its description in RNAcentral is "partial 16S ribosomal RNA". It matches the Rfam family "Bacterial small subunit ribosomal RNA", at positions 354 to 796 of the family's 1533-position model. The record is from RNAcentral.